This 253-nucleotide ribosomal RNA is filed under the name uncultured bacterium. Its description in RNAcentral is "partial 16S ribosomal RNA". It matches the Rfam family "Bacterial small subunit ribosomal RNA", at positions 524 to 776 of the family's 1533-position model. The record is from RNAcentral.
UACGUAGGGGGCGAGCGUUGUCCGGAGUUACUGGGCGUAAAGCGCACGCAGGCGGUCUGCUAAGUUUGGAGUGACAGUUGGUGGCUUAACUGCCAAAGUGCUUCGAAAACUGACAGACUUGAGGGCUUCAGAGGGACACGGAAUUCCGGGUGGAGUGGUGAAAUGCGUAGAGAUCCGGAGGAACACCAGUGGCGAAGGCGGCGUCCUGGCCUGCGACUGACGCUGUGGCGCGAAAGCUAGGGGAGCGAACGGG